This is a long non-coding RNA of Hibiscus syriacus, 152 nucleotides long. RefSeq lists it as uncharacterized. The transcript has 3 exons. The record is from RefSeq and is a predicted model, not a curated record. Lineage: Eukaryota; Viridiplantae; Streptophyta; Magnoliopsida; Malvales; Malvaceae.
GUGACAGCUACCCUUUUCCAGUUUACUUUAAAUUCUUCAUCUUCAUCCUUCCAAUUGAAACACCGAUCAAUGUCUUACUAGUGCAAAUGGAGCUGUUUUACUCAGAAUCCAGCUUCAACACACACGCAAAUGAAGGAUAGAAACUACAAUUU